UCUCCUAUAGUUCAGUGGUACAAUAUCCGAAGUAUUGAUCGGAAGGUCAUAGCUUCGAGUCCUAGUGAAAA
Molecule: transfer RNA, 71 nt
Filed under: Acropora cervicornis
Lineage: Eukaryota; Metazoa; Cnidaria; Anthozoa; Scleractinia; Acroporidae
Description: tRNA-Asn
Source: RNAcentral